GAUGAACGCUGGCGGCGUGCUUAACACAUGCAAGUCGAACGGAAAGGCCCAAGCUUGCUUGGGUACUCGAGUGGCGAACGGGUGAGUAACACGUGGGUGAUCUGCCCUGCACUUCGGGAUAAGCCUGGGAAACUGGGUCUAAUACCGGAUAGGACCACUUCUUGGAUGUUGUGGUGGAAAGUUUUUUCUGUGUGGGAUGAGCUCGCGGCCUAUCAGCUUGUUGGGGGGGUAAUGGCCUACCAAGGCGUCGCCGGGUAGCCGGCAUGAGGGGGUGUACGGGCACCUUGGGACUGCGAGACGGAGCAGAAGCGAACCGGCGGCAGCAGAGGGGAGUCUUGCAGAACGGGGGCGAGCCUGAUGCAGAGGCGCCGGGUGGGGGAUGACGGGUUUGGGGUUGUAAACUCCGGUCGCUAGGGAAGAAGCGUUUUGUGACGGUACCUGGAGAAGAAGCAACGGCUAACUACGUG
RNAcentral lists this ribosomal RNA (467 nucleotides) under uncultured bacterium. RNAcentral describes it as "partial 16S ribosomal RNA". It matches the Rfam family "Bacterial small subunit ribosomal RNA", at positions 28 to 507 of the family's 1533-position model. The record is from RNAcentral.